RNAcentral lists this ribosomal RNA (253 nucleotides) under uncultured bacterium. RNAcentral describes it as "partial 16S ribosomal RNA". It matches the Rfam family "Bacterial small subunit ribosomal RNA", at positions 524 to 776 of the family's 1533-position model. The record is from RNAcentral.
UACGUAGGGUGCAAGCGUUAAUCGGAAUUACUGGGCGUAAAGCGUACGCAGGCGGCUUUGCAAGACAGGUGUGAAAUCCCCGGGCCUAACCUGGGAACUGCAUUUGUGACUGCAUGGCUAGAGUUUGUCAGAGGGGGGUGGAGUUCCACGUGUAGCAGUGAAAUGCGUAGAUAUGUGGAGGAACACCGAUGGCGAAGGCAGCCCCCUGGGAUGUGACUGACGCUCAUGUACGAAAGCGUGGGGAGCAAACAGG